CUGCCAGUGAUAAACUGGAGGAAGUGGGGAUGACGUCAAGUCAUCAUGGCCCUUACGACCAGGGCUACACACGUGCUACAAUGGCGCAUACAAAGAGAAGCGACCUCGCGAGAGCAAGCGGACCUCAUAAAGUGCGUCGUAGUCCGGAUUGGAGUCUGCAACUCGACUCCAUGAAGUCGGAAUCGCUAGUAAUCGUGGAUCAGAAUGCCACGGUGAAUACGUUCCCGGGCCUU
Molecule: ribosomal RNA, 233 nt
Filed under: uncultured Enterobacteriaceae bacterium
Lineage: Bacteria; Pseudomonadati; Pseudomonadota; Gammaproteobacteria; Enterobacterales; Enterobacteriaceae
Description: partial 16S ribosomal RNA
Rfam family: Bacterial small subunit ribosomal RNA
Source: RNAcentral